RNAcentral lists this ribosomal RNA (346 nucleotides) under uncultured bacterium. RNAcentral describes it as "bacterial SSU rRNA". It matches the Rfam family "Bacterial small subunit ribosomal RNA", at positions 1 to 334 of the family's 1533-position model. The record is from RNAcentral.
ACAGAUCGUUCAGAGUUUGAUCCUGGCUCAGGAUGAACGCUAGCGGCAGGCUUAACACAUGCAAGUCGAGGGGCAGCAUAAAGCGGUGCUUGCACUGCUUGGUGGCGACCGGCGCACGGGUGCGUAACGCGUAUGCAACCUACCUAUAACAGGGGGAUAACACUGAGAAAUUGGUACUAAUACCCCGUAACAUCAUAUAGGGCAUCCUAUUUGGUUGAAAGUUCCGGCGGUUAUAGAUGGGCAUGCGUUGUAUUAGCUAGUAGGUGAGGUAACGGCUCACCUAGGCGACGAUACAUAGGGGGACUGAGAGGUUAACCCCCCACAUUGGUACUGAGACACGGACCAA